GGGGCUGACCGGCAUUGACAGCAUCGUUCUUUGUAUGUAAGCAUGUAGAGCAUUGUGAGGCAAGCUCUUUAAUAUCUAUCUCACGACGCCAUAAUUGGCAACACUUCUUACAGAAUGGCUGCCUAAUCGCAGAGCGUUUACGCGCCUUCAGUUCCUUGCAGAUUUUAUCCCGUAAGCUGCAAUCGAACUUCGAAAACGGGAUUGGCUUAACUUUUAUCUUUUUAGGUUAAGCGAGAUUCAAUGAAAGAUAAGUUGAUAGUUCGGUUGCACUGCACCAGCUUUCAAUCGAAAAUAAAGCAGCGAUAAACAUGUAGAAAGCUUACGAAAGCUUUGUCUGGACCAGGGUUCAACUCCCUGCAGCUCCACUA
Molecule: transfer-messenger RNA, 368 nt
Filed under: Chitinophagales
Lineage: Bacteria; Pseudomonadati; Bacteroidota; Chitinophagia
Also listed under: 1 other name
Description: UBA10324 sp003455275 Standard tmRNA
Rfam family: transfer-messenger RNA
About the family: Bacterial tmRNA, also known as 10Sa RNA or SsrA, is named for its dual tRNA and mRNA-like properties. Its role is to liberate the mRNA from a stalled ribosome.
Source: RNAcentral